AGAGAGAGAGGGAGACACAGAAUCCGAAGGAGGCUCCAGGCUCUGAGCUGUCAGCACAGAGCCCUACAGGGGGCUCGAACUCACGAACCAUGAGAUCAUGACCUGAGCUGAAGUCGGAGGCUUAACUGACUGAGCCACCCAGACACCCCUAGAUAAUUUGUAUAUAUUUUUAAAGUUCAUUUAUUCUGAGAGAGACAGGGAGAGAAUGAGAGGCUGAGGGGCAGAGAGAGAGGGAGAGAGACAGGAUCCCAAGCAGGCUCCUUGUUGUCAGCGUAGAACCCAACAUGGGGCUCAAACUCACAAAACUGUGAGAUCGUGACCUGAGCCGAAAUCAAGAGUCGGACGCUCAACCAACUGAGCCACCCAGGCGUCCUUUGAUAAUUUAUAUUUAAACAGCCACAUGUGGCUAAGUGACUACAUAUGGGACAGUCCAACCUUAGAUGUUUCAUCUCUUAGAGAAAGACUAGAAUCACCCACCCCAGAUUCCCCUAACAUCCUCCCCAGCGUACCUGACUGAGACCUUCGAGCUCCAAACAAUGGGGUCUAAGUGUUACUACUCUCAAGUAUGCUUGAAAACAUACUUGGUUUUCUUUUCCAGAAAAAGAACCUGAGGUAAGGGCAAGAACAAGCACAGUGCUCCACGCAAGAAAGGUAACGCCAUCGCCACGUGGGAAAACACAAACGUUUUACAUCUUUACUGGGGAGUUGUUACAUCCGCAGAACCAUUUUUCCAAAUUUUCGAGCCAAGAUUUAUGCAUUCCAGUGCGUUCAAAGCUUAUCUCCAGCAAAACUUAUUUAUUUCUAGGAGCCCUAUGUGGGACUUGAACUCAAUGAACCGUGAGAUCAUGAUCUGAGCCAAAGUCAGACGCUCAACGGACUGAGCCAUCCAGGUGUCCCCAGUCCAAUUUCUGAGGGAAAAAAAUGUACGAGAAACUCUUCUGAGAGGCCACCUCUGGUGAGUGGGUCACCGGGCUUGGGUGCAAUGACCCUUUUUACCUCACGCCUUUCUGCGUGGGCUCAAGCUUUCUUAAUAAGCACGAAUUAAUGACCCCACCUUUCUUGCCUCCAAUAUUUGAAACAUCUUCCGUGUGUCCCUGCAGCCCAUCCUAGCCUGUGCCUCAGGUACUCCCGUUUCUGUGUCCCUGCUCACCUUUGCUCUUCCUUUUCCUUUGUGCAUUUAAAUCUUGUCCAUCCUUCAAGGGCCAGCUCCAAGGCCAACAAAUCCAUGAGGACUCUCCAAACUUCUCAAAACAAUGCUGCCCUCUUCCUUUUCAGUAUUCCCACGAAAUUACUGAGCACGAAAAUGACAACACACAGGGCUUUGGGGUUUUUUUGCAACGCUGUCUGCACUCAAUUAUUUAAUUGAUGUAAUUUGCAUCACACUGUUGUGUAUUUCAUUUACUUUCCAACCUAUUUUUUUCCAAUUUUUUAUUCUCUAUUUUUUCCAAGUCUCAAGCAUUUCAGAGAAAGCAUGCUCAAAUUUAUUUUGUCCUCCCCACCCCACAUUAUGGUCCAUGUGAGGCACGGCAUUCAACAAAUACUUUUACUUCUUAAAUCAAUCAUAUGUGAAAGCUCCCUCAGGAUCUAUAUGUAUUAAAAAAACAGACCCUUGUCAUUUAUGUUCCUAGGUCCUGGGUCACAUGGCCGACAUUAUAUUUCCUUCAUUUAGGAUGUGCAGAUGGCCUCAAACCCACUUUUUAGAGCCAAUUCACACUUUGUGUGUCUGAAAUUUCCCACUCAAGAGAGCCCCCCCAAAACAGAUCUGAUUUGAUCACAAUUCGGAUAGUAAGCAGAACACUUAUUUCAAUUAGCUAACAGCUUCCUAUCAUCCCCAUAUACAAAAAUAAACCAAAAAAAACAAAACCUGGGCUCAUGAAACAGUAUUUCAGUAACAAGAAUGUAAGAAUACUGAAUCCUAAUUAAAGAAGAGAGAUAUAACAUUGUAAUACCAAUUUUAUCCAGCGUAAGAAAAAUUUUAAGCUUUAUUUUGAUAAAACAUUUCAGAUUCCCUCGUAUCACAGCAUAUCAAUAAGCAAGAUGUACAUGUACUGAUUUUAUCCUACAUGUCAAGCCCCAAAUUCCCAAUCCCAGGUAAGCAAGUUGCAAAAUACAAGUGCCGAUAACUUAACUAUAGGUAGUAUUUUAAAGAAAAGUGAGUGUUCAGCACUUUAAAUUCAAUGAGGCUUUAAUCAAAGAGAGACUUAAUACCACAGGGUGUCUUUUUUGCAACAGUAAUGAAUUCAAUCAAGUCUGUGAUUCCAAGCUCGAGCGACAGUGUUCUGUUUGAGGCAAACAAGCAAAGGCAAUCAACUCUUCGGUGGUAUAUUACAGCACGUACUAUAUAUUUUUGGACAAUUUCAUUCCAUUGUUAGCAUUUGGGAAUCUAAGGAAACAAGAAUUAGAGAAGAGCUCUGACUCCACUUUGGGGAAUGCAAUGUAAUGGCUCUGCCUUGGCACAAAGGUACACUGUAACACUGGUGGUGGUCUUUGAUCAACUUCCCACGGUAAUUGAAUCACCAACAACUAUAACUCUGAUCAAGGAACACACAGAUUUUACCAGAAGAAAAUUCUGUACUUCCAGUUUUAAAAAGCAAACGGUUCUAUGAAGACGCAACCAUUUGAAUUAUCUGAGUAUAUACAUUUAAGUUUUUACAACUUCAUGCCUUAAGUUUUGACUUCCAAAGUAUCAUUUCCUGGACCCAACAUCAAAUAUUUACACGCUAUGUAUUUCACACAAUAUAAUUUUAGAAACCAUAAGUUGCACAAAGUAAUCGUAAAAGUUUUUAUCAAAUUCAUGUUUCCAGUGAUCCUAAAAAAGACAAUUUAUAGUUGUUUUUUUUUUUGUUAUCUAGAAAAUCCUAACUGUAUGUGAAAAAUUAAUCAAAGAAAAUCUGUAACUCUGAUAAUUUUCCACCCUUAAAAGGCAUCGCUAAAAAUAAAUAAAAGGGCUCCUCUGCCAAUGA
Neofelis nebulosa (Clouded leopard) is the source of this 2963-nucleotide long non-coding RNA. RefSeq lists it as uncharacterized. NCBI's taxonomy places the organism in Eukaryota, Metazoa, Chordata, Mammalia, Carnivora, Felidae. The transcript has 2 exons. The record is from RefSeq and is a predicted model, not a curated record.